CCCUUUGAUACUCUGGGCGGCACGCGCGCUACACUGGUUUAUAUAACGUGUAAUUUGGACGAUAGUCUGUAUAAAUCACUAAUAUAAAACCGUGAAUGGGAUAGUUUAUUGCAACUUACAAACUUUAACUAGGAAUCCCUUGUAGAAGUAGUGAAUUAUACUGCUUCGAAUACGUCCCUGCCGAUUGUACACGCCGCCCGUCGUUUCUUCCGACUGGUACUCAUUGUGAAUUGCGAGGAGAUUCUGUCAAAUCGUUGUAAAUGCUGGGUAUUGGAGGAAGAAAAAGUCGUAACA
RNAcentral lists this ribosomal RNA (294 nucleotides) under uncultured eukaryote. RNAcentral's name for it is "partial 18S ribosomal RNA". It matches the Rfam family "Eukaryotic small subunit ribosomal RNA", at positions 1470 to 1796 of the family's 1831-position model. The record is from RNAcentral.